RNAcentral lists this transfer RNA (84 nucleotides) under Fasciola hepatica (liver fluke). It matches the Rfam family "tRNA". From Rfam's summary of the family: Transfer RNA (tRNA) molecules are approximately 80 nucleotides in length. Their secondary structure includes four short double-helical elements and three loops (D, anti-codon, and T loops). Further hydrogen bonds mediate the characteristic L-shaped molecular structure. tRNAs have two regions of fundamental functional importance: the anti-codon, which is responsible for specific mRNA codon recognition, and the 3' end, to which the tRNAs corresponding amino acid is attached (by aminoacyl-tRNA synthetases). tRNAs cope with the degeneracy of the genetic code in two manners: having more than one tRNA (with a specific anti-codon) for a particular amino acid; and 'wobble' base-pairing, i.e. permitting non-standard base-pairing at the 3rd anti-codon position. Lineage: Eukaryota; Metazoa; Platyhelminthes; Trematoda; Plagiorchiida; Fasciolidae. The record is from Rfam by way of RNAcentral.
GGCCUCGUAGGUUAGCUGGUAGAACACUCGCGGUACUAAAGCGAUGGUGACAACCAUGCGUGGGUUCAAAUCCCUUCGAGGUCA